AGACUGAUUAAUGAUUAUAAAACAUUGUAAAACCUUCAGAGGGAAAGAAUAUUUUGUGAACCAUUGGUUUUUUCUCUGUGUGAGGCAGUUUUUAAGUUAUUUGUUUUUAAAAUCAGU
RNAcentral lists this microRNA precursor (117 nucleotides) under Myotis lucifugus (little brown bat). RNAcentral's name for it is "miRNA (ENSMLUG00000028915.1)". Lineage: Eukaryota; Metazoa; Chordata; Mammalia; Chiroptera; Vespertilionidae. The record is from RNAcentral.